RNAcentral lists this unclassified non-coding RNA (199 nucleotides) under Dactylonectria macrodidyma. RNAcentral's name for it is "partial contains small subunit ribosomal RNA, internal transcribed spacer 1, and 5.8S ribosomal RNA". Lineage: Eukaryota; Fungi; Ascomycota; Sordariomycetes; Hypocreales; Nectriaceae. The record is from RNAcentral. RNAcentral also lists the same sequence under 1 other name.
UCUCCGUUGGUGAACCAGCGGAGGGAUCAUUACCGAGUUUACAACUCCCAAACCCCUGUGAACAUACCUAUUUGUUGCCUCGGCGGUGCCUGUUCCGACAGCCCGCCAGAGGACCCCAAACCCUGAUUACAUUUAAGAAGUCUUCUGAGUAAACCGAUUAAAUAAAUCAAAACUUUCAACAACGGAUCUCUUGGUUCUG